GGGGAUUUAGCUCAGCGGCAUAAGCGCCUGCAUUGUAAGCAGGCAGUCGUGAGUUCAAUCCCUG
RNAcentral lists this transfer RNA (64 nucleotides) under Cavia porcellus (domestic guinea pig). It matches the Rfam family "tRNA". Rfam says of the family: Transfer RNA (tRNA) molecules are approximately 80 nucleotides in length. Their secondary structure includes four short double-helical elements and three loops (D, anti-codon, and T loops). Further hydrogen bonds mediate the characteristic L-shaped molecular structure. tRNAs have two regions of fundamental functional importance: the anti-codon, which is responsible for specific mRNA codon recognition, and the 3' end, to which the tRNAs corresponding amino acid is attached (by aminoacyl-tRNA synthetases). tRNAs cope with the degeneracy of the genetic code in two manners: having more than one tRNA (with a specific anti-codon) for a particular amino acid; and 'wobble' base-pairing, i.e. permitting non-standard base-pairing at the 3rd anti-codon position. The record is from Rfam by way of RNAcentral. Lineage: Eukaryota; Metazoa; Chordata; Mammalia; Rodentia; Caviidae.